Molecule: transfer RNA, 73 nt
Filed under: Stegodyphus mimosarum
Lineage: Eukaryota; Metazoa; Arthropoda; Arachnida; Araneae; Eresidae
Rfam family: tRNA
About the family: Transfer RNA (tRNA) molecules are approximately 80 nucleotides in length. Their secondary structure includes four short double-helical elements and three loops (D, anti-codon, and T loops).
Source: Rfam by way of RNAcentral
GCCUUCGUGGUAUAAUGGUCAGCACACUCGGCGCGUAUUCCAGAGGUCCGUGGUUCGAGUCCCGGUGAGGGCA